CUUGUUUCUCUUGCUGUUUCUUAUUAAUUAAUUUUCCGAACCAGUUCUAUAAAGUCUCUGUUCUUUGUCACACGUAUCACUGAAGUCUCUGCUUGCUUAGCUUUGUGGUCACCUAAUGAUUCAAAAGACAUUUCCGUAAAUGCCUGGAAGCAAUCAGUCUUCUAGCCUUCGCUGAUGGGUUCUGCAUAUGAGUUCAGGCAUGCCUUCAGGACUCCACCAGGCACUUGGUAAUUCUGCCUUAUCCUUCACUUUUUGCUUGAGCAGCGCCGAAAGGUGAGCCAGAGGAGGGAAAUUUGGACAUGGACACAUAGGGAAGACAGCCAUGUGGAGACAGAGGCAGAGGUGGACCUGCUGCCGCAAAACCACAGGGCGCCAAGUACUGUGGGCCACUGAGAAAACUAAAGGAGAGGAAGGAUUCUUCCCUGGAGCUUUGGAGAGGGUGCGGCCCUACUUUCACCUGGAUUUCAGACUUCAGACUUCCAGAACCAUGAAGGAAUAAGCUCUCUUUGUUUCAAAACCACUCAGUC
Molecule: long non-coding RNA, 527 nt
Filed under: Homo sapiens (human)
Lineage: Eukaryota; Metazoa; Chordata; Mammalia; Primates; Hominidae
Description: non-protein coding lnc-AKR1E2-7:1
Source: RNAcentral